RNAcentral lists this long non-coding RNA (247 nucleotides) under Homo sapiens (human). RNAcentral's name for it is "HSALNT0324463". The record is from RNAcentral. Lineage: Eukaryota; Metazoa; Chordata; Mammalia; Primates; Hominidae.
CGCGCGUUCACUCUCUGCCCGGAGCCGCCUGGCACCUGGGCGGCGCGCUCACCCUCAGCCCGGGGCCCCCAGGCACCCGGCCCGCACGCAAACCCUCAGCCCGGGGCCCCCUGACCCCCGCGUUCACCCCUCAGCCCGGCCGCCGGGCACUGCGCAUCCGCCACGUGGCAGCGCCUCCAGAGCCCAGACGCCCGGCGUUGGCACGUGGUGAGCGCUCAAUAAAUGUCUGUUGAACAAAUACGCGUGG